UUCAUUUGUACAUCUUUUGGUGGUUUAAUAUGUUUUCUUCUCUUCCAGAUAUAUUUGAGGCAUCUCUGUGCUGAGCUCUCUCAUCUGAAAGAGGCUGACAGCGUAUGAAGGCAGAGAAGUAUCCUUUGAUGAGAAAAUGCAAAUCCCAAACAAAACAUUUGCAGAACCACUAAUAACCAUUUCCAUGCAAUUGAGCAAUGAUAUGGUAUUUUUUAUAGAAUGACUCAAAGAUUUUUGUGUCUGGCUGGCCAUAUUGAUCUCUAGCUGUGAGAACCUGGAAAGCUGGACCACAAAUUUUGGUGCCUGUCAUAAUCUGGAUACUGCCAUCUGUGUCAUGGGAAUAAAAAUUAAGUCUCCCUGCUUGGUCCACUCUUCUGCUCUGUGAUACAUCUGAAACAAUUCCAGCUGGUGCUGGUGUUGUGGCACCAGGUCAUGCUCCCUGGAUGUGGGCUGCAAGAAAUGGGUCACUUCAGCAGAAGCUGCCAUAGGGCCCUCAGGGCAUAGACACCACUGGAGGUCAUGUGAAGCUGCACAUCCCUCUCCAGGAGCAGAAAGGAGAUCACAGUGGAUUCAGUCUGCAAACUGCCUGUGAAUGAAGGGGAGAAAUGUGCCCACACCCACGUGGACCUGCUGCAAGAGGAUGUUUUGCUCAUUCCUUCUACUUCAUUGCUCCUCACAUUCUUCUCUGGCCUAGGAAUUUGACUUUGUCUCCUGUAGUGUUUGAACAUCUAGAUGAAAACAAUGUCAGAUUUUUCCAAGGUCUCUUUCUAAAAUGAGUUAUGAAGGCAGUUUCAAGGAGUGUUAAAAAGAUGCCACUUAAUUUGAACAGUAGCAAACUUCAGCCCCAAACAGAGAAAGAAAUAUGCAGUCUUUCUCAAGACAUGUUGAGACAUCCCCCUGCAGCUGUAAUGGGUUAUCAGCACAUCUCCACCCUUUCACCAGAUGCAACCUCUUAGAGGCAACUUUGUCUUCAGACUUCAGUUGUAUAUCAUCUGAUCUCAACUAGUGUCAAAAGACCCAGGAGCUCUCUGCCUGUCUGCUGGAACAUUGAUCCACUCACCACAACUAUUUACAAGAUGUGAAGUCUUUCCUUCCCUUGCACUCUC
Molecule: long non-coding RNA, 1106 nt
Organism: Pyrgilauda ruficollis (rufous-necked snowfinch)
Lineage: Eukaryota; Metazoa; Chordata; Aves; Passeriformes; Passeridae
Exons: 6
Source: RefSeq, a predicted model, not a curated record